GUAAACGGCGGCCGUAACUAUAACGGUCCUAAGGUAGCGAAAUUCCUUGUCGGGUAAGUUCCGACCUGCACGAAUGGCGUAAUGAUGGCCAGGCUGUCUCCACCCGAGACUCAGUGAAAUUGAACUCGCUGUGAAGAUGCAGUGUACCCGCGGCAAGACGGAAAGACCCCGUGAACCUUUACUAUAGCUUGACACUGAACAUUGAGCCUUGAUGUGUAGGAUAGGUGGGAGGCUUUGAAGUGUGGACGCCAGUCUGCAUGGAGCCGACCUUGAAAUACCACCCUUUAAUGUUUGAUGUUCUAACGUUGACCCGUGAUCCGGGUUGCGGACAGUGUCUGGUGGGUAGUUUGACUGGGGCGGUCUCCUCCUAAAGAGUAACGGAGGAGCACGAAGGUUGGCUAAUCCUGGUCGGACAUCAGGAGGUUAGUGCAAUGGCAUAAGCCAGCUUGACUGCGAGCGUGACGGCGCGAGCAGGUGCGAAAGCAGGUCAUAGUGAUCCGGUGGUUCUGAAUGGAAGGGCCAUCGCUCAACGGAUAAAAGGUACUCCGGGGAUAACAGGCUGAUACCGCCCAAGAGUUCAUAUCGACGGCGGUGUUUGGCACCUCGAUGUCGGCUCAUCUCAUCCUGGGGCUGUAGCCGGUCCCAAGGGUAUGGCUGUUCGCCAUUUAAAGAGGUACGUGAGCUGGGUUUAAAACGUCGUGAGACAGUUUUGUCCCUAUCUGCCGUGGGCGUUGGAAGAUUGACGGGGGCUGCUCCUAGUACGAGAGGACCGGAGUGGACUCACCUCUGGUGUACCGGUUGUCACGCCAGUGGCAUCGCCGGGUAGCUAUGUGGGGAAAGGAUAACCGCUGAAAGCAUCUAAGCGGGAAACCUGCCUGAAGAUAAGUCUUCCUGGAGGCUUUGACCUCCCUGAAGAGUCGUUCGAGACCAGGACGUUGAUAGGUUGGAUGUGCAAGCGCUGUGAGGCGUUGAGCUGACCAAUACUAAUUGCUCGUGAAGCUUGAUCCU
Molecule: ribosomal RNA, 1008 nt
Filed under: human gut metagenome
Description: bacterial LSU rRNA
Rfam family: Bacterial large subunit ribosomal RNA
Source: RNAcentral